RNAcentral lists this long non-coding RNA (350 nucleotides) under Gossypium raimondii (Peruvian cotton). RNAcentral's name for it is "long non-coding RNA (GRAI_LNC010375)". The record is from RNAcentral. Lineage: Eukaryota; Viridiplantae; Streptophyta; Magnoliopsida; Malvales; Malvaceae.
GGUAUAAUUGUUCGAUUUUUUAUUUCAAAGUUAGUCUUUUUUAACGUGAAAUUUUUAAUUUUUUUUUUUAAAUUUGCUUGAAAUUAUUUAUUGAUAGUCUUGUUGUGGUUUGUAUUGUGAUCUUGUUGCACGAAUCUAAUUAUGGUGGGUUUUUGAACGGAUUCUCAAGUUCUGUAAUUUUUAUCCUUUGCUAUAAAUUGAGUUUUCCAUGUAAAAUUGUCUCAUUUUAUUGUUUUUGUUUAUAAUAUUGGGAUUGAUUUGUAAUGAUGGUUGAUAUAUUAUAAUAUUAAAAUUUUCAUAAUUACUAACUCGUAUUUAUUGAGAAUAUAAAAAUGCGAUUUAUGUUUCAC